GAUGUACUCCCUCCGUCCGGAAUUACUCGUCACAUAAAUGAAGAAAAAUGGAUGUAUGUAGAACUAAAAUACGACUAGAUACAUCCAUUUUUUCGAAAAAUAUUUUCGGAUGGAGGGAGUAAUUG
Molecule: non-coding RNA, 125 nt
Organism: Triticum aestivum (bread wheat)
Lineage: Eukaryota; Viridiplantae; Streptophyta; Magnoliopsida; Poales; Poaceae
Source: Rfam